Molecule: ribosomal RNA, 473 nt
Filed under: uncultured bacterium
Lineage: Bacteria
Description: SSU rRNA
Rfam family: Bacterial small subunit ribosomal RNA
Source: RNAcentral
AGGAUGAACGCUGGCGGCGUGCCUAACACAUGCAAGUCGAACGUCCUGUCUCGCAAGAGGCAGGGAGUGGCGGACGGGUGAGUACCACGUGGGUCAUCUACCGUGAGGUGAGGAAUACCGGCGAGAAAUCGCCGACAAGACCGCAUAGCCUCGGUGCAAGUCGAGGAAAGCUCUCUCGAGAGAGGGAGCGCCACACGAGGAGCCUGCGCCCGAUUAGCUAGCUGGUGGAGUAAUGGUUCACCAGGGCGACGAUCGGUAGCUGGUCUGAGAGGACGAUCAGCCACACUGGGAUUGAGAACGGCCCAGACUCCUACGAGGGGCAGCAGUGAGGAAUUUUCCGCAAUGGGCGCAAGCCUGACGGAGCAACGCCGCGUGCAGGAAGACGGUUUUCGGAUCGUAAACUGCUUUUCUCGGGGACGAGAACGGACGGUACCCGAGGAAUCAGCCCCGGCUAACUUCGUGCCAGCAGCCGC